CCUACGGGGGGCAGCAGUGGGGAAUCUUGCGCAAUGGGCGAAAGCCUGACGCAGCAACGCCGCGUGCGGGAUGAAGGCCUUCGGGUUGUAAACCGCUUUCAGCAGGGAAGAAAUUGACGGUACCUGCAGAAGAAGCCCCGGCCAACUACGUGCCAGCAGCCGCGGUAACACGUAGGGGGCGAGCGUUGUCCGGAUUUAUUGGGCGUAAAGAGCUCGUAGGCGGUUCGGUAAGUCGGGUGUGAAACCUCCAGGCUCAACCUGGAGACGCCACCUGAUACUG
RNAcentral lists this ribosomal RNA (280 nucleotides) under uncultured bacterium. Its description in RNAcentral is "partial 16S ribosomal RNA". It matches the Rfam family "Bacterial small subunit ribosomal RNA", at positions 338 to 635 of the family's 1533-position model. The record is from RNAcentral.